This 443-nucleotide ribosomal RNA is filed under the name uncultured Magnetospirillum sp. Its description in RNAcentral is "bacterial SSU rRNA". It matches the Rfam family "Bacterial small subunit ribosomal RNA", at positions 336 to 796 of the family's 1533-position model. The record is from RNAcentral. Lineage: Bacteria; Pseudomonadati; Pseudomonadota; Alphaproteobacteria; Rhodospirillales; Rhodospirillaceae.
UUCCUACGGGUGGCUGCAGUGGGGAAUAUUGGACAAUGGGCGCAAGCCUGAUCCAGCCAUGCCGCGUGAGUGAUGAAGGCCUUAGGGUUGUAAAGCUCUUUCGACGGGGGCGAUGAUGACGGUACCCGUAGAAGAAGCCCCGGCUAACUUCGUGCCAGCAGCCGCGGUAAUACGAAGGGGGCUAGCGUUGUUCGGAAUUACUGGGCGUAAAGCGCACGCAGGCGGUCUGAUCAGUCAGAAGUGAAAGCCCCGGGCUUAACCUGGGAACUGCUUUUGAUACUGUCAGGCUUGAAUCACGGAGAGGGUAGUGGAAUUCCGAGUGUAGAGGUGAAAUUCGUAGAUAUUCGGAAGAACACCAGUGGCGAAGGCGACUACCUGGCCGUCGAUUGACGCUCAUGUGCGAAAGCGUGGGGAGCAAACAGGAUUAGAUACCCGGGUAGUCC